GAUGAACGCUAGCGGCAGGCCUAAUACAUGCAAGUCGAACGGGAUCCAGAUCAAAGCUUGCUUUGGUUUGGUGAGAGUGGCGCACGGGUGCGUAACGCGUGAGCAACCUACCCUUGUCAGGGGGAUAGCCCGGCGAAAGUCGGAUUAAUACCGCAUGACAUCGUUGAGAGGCAUCUUUCGAUGAUCAAAGAUUUAUCGGACAAGGAUGGGCUCGCGUGACAUUAGCUAGUUGGUAAGGUAACGGCUUACCAAGGCUACGAUGUCUAGGGGCUCUGAGAGGAGAAUCCCCCACACUGGUACUGAGACACGGACCAGACUCCUACGGGAGGCAGCAGUAAGGAAUAUUGGUCAAUGAACGGAAGUCUGAACCAGCCAUGCCGCGUGCAGGAAGACGGCCCUAUGGGUUGUAAACUGCUUUUAUACGGGAACAAACGUCGGUACGUGUACCGGUCUGAGUGUACCGUAAGAAUAAGGAUCGGCUAACUCCGUG
Molecule: ribosomal RNA, 490 nt
Filed under: uncultured bacterium
Lineage: Bacteria
Description: partial 16S ribosomal RNA
Rfam family: Bacterial small subunit ribosomal RNA
Source: RNAcentral